RNAcentral lists this ribosomal RNA (253 nucleotides) under uncultured bacterium. Its description in RNAcentral is "partial 16S ribosomal RNA". It matches the Rfam family "Bacterial small subunit ribosomal RNA", at positions 524 to 776 of the family's 1533-position model. The record is from RNAcentral.
UACGUAGGCAGCAAGCGUUGUUCGGAAUUACUGGGCGUAAAGAGUGUGUAGGCGGUGCUCUAAGUUCGGUGUGAAAUCUCCCGGCUCAACUGGGAGGGUGCGCCGGAAACUGGAGUGCUGGAGCGCGGGAGAGGAGAGCGGAAUUCCUGGUGUAGCGGUGAAAUGCGUAGAUAUCAGGAGGAACACCGGCGGUGUAGACGGCUUUCUGGACCGUAGCUGACGCUGAGACACGAAAGCGUGGGUAGCAAACAGG